GACGAACGCUGGCGGCGUGCUUAACACAUGCAAGUCGAACGGAAAGGCCCUGCUUUUGUGGGGUGCUCGAGUGGCGAACGGGUGAGUAACACGUGAGUAACCUGCCCUUGACUUUGGGAUAACUUCAGGAAACUGGGGCUAAUACCGGAUAGGAGCUCCUGCUGCAUGGUGGGGGUUGGAAAGUUUCGGCGGUUGGGGAUGGACUCGCGGCUUAUCAGCUUGUUGGUGGGGUAGUGGCUUACCAAGGCUUUGACGGGUAGCCGGCCUGAGAGGGUGACCGGCCACAUUGGGACUGAGAUACGGCCCAAACUCCUACGGGAGGCAGCAGUGGGGAAUAUUGCACAAUGGGCGGAAGCCUGAUGCAGCAACGCCGCGUGCGGGAUGACGGCCUUCGGGUUGUAAACCGCUUUCGCCUGUGACGAAGCGUGAGUGACGGUAAUGGGUAAAGAAGCACCGGCUAACUACGUGCCAGCAGCCGCGGUGAUACGUAGGGUGCGAGCGUUGUCCGGAUUUAUUGGGCGUAAAGGGCUCGUAGGUGGUUGAUCGCGUCGGAAGUGUAAUCUUGGGGCUUAACCCUGAGCGUGCUUUCGAUACGGGUUGACUUGAGGAAGGUAGGGGAGAAUGGAAUUCCUGGUGGAGCGGUGGAAUGCGCAGAUAUCAGGAGGAACACCAGUGGCGAAGGCGGUUCUCUGGGCCUUUCCUGACGCUGAGGAGCGAAAGCGUGGGGAGCGAACAGGCUUAGAUACCCUGGUAGUCCACGCUGUAAACGGUGGGUACUAGGUGUGGGGUCCAUUCCACGGGUUCCGUGCCGUAGCUAACGCUUUAAGUACCCCGCCUGGGGAGUACGGCCGCAUGGCUAAAACUCAAAGGAAUUGACGGGGCCCCGCACAAGCGGCGGAGCAUGCGGAUUAAUUCGAUGCAACGCGUAGAACCUUACCUGGGUUUGACAUGGAUCGGGAGUGCUCAGAGAUGGGUGUGCCUCUUUUGGGGUCGGUUCACAGGUGGUGCAUGGCUGUCGUCAGCUCGUGUCGUGAGAUGUUGGGUUAAGUCCCGCAACGAGCGCAACCCUUGUUCACUGUUGCCAGCACGUUAUGGUGGGGACUCAGUGGAGACCGCCGGGGUCAACUCGGAGGAAGGUGGGGAUGACGUCAAGUCAUCAUGCCCCUUAUGUCCAGGGCUUCACGCAUGCUACAAUGGCUGGUACAGAGAGUGGCGAGCCUGUGAGGGUGAGCGAAUCUCGGAAAGCCGGUCUCAGUUCGGAUUGGGGUCUGCAACUCGACCUCAUGAAGUCGGAGUCGCUAGUAAUCGCAGAUCAGCAACGCUGCGGUGAAUACGUUCCCGGGGCU
This 1346-nucleotide ribosomal RNA is filed under the name uncultured bacterium. Its description in RNAcentral is "partial 16S ribosomal RNA". It matches the Rfam family "Bacterial small subunit ribosomal RNA", at positions 28 to 1381 of the family's 1533-position model. The record is from RNAcentral.